Non-coding RNA from Paralichthys olivaceus (Japanese flounder), 447 nucleotides. The record is from RefSeq and is a predicted model, not a curated record. NCBI's taxonomy places the organism in Eukaryota, Metazoa, Chordata, Actinopteri, Pleuronectiformes, Paralichthyidae.
UUACUCACUCUUCCACAGCUGUGGAGAACUUUGAGCUGUCGACAGAGCGACGCGCCCGGGAGCGUCAGGAGUACGAGCGACUGGUCAGCGAGAAGGAGGCUCUCAGGGACCUCAUGGAGGAGGAGCAGAGACGAGAGGAGGAGCAGCAACAACAAGAGGAGAUCACCAGGCUGCGGCAAGAACAGGUUCACAAGGCUCAGCCCAUCAAACACUACAAACCUGUUCUGGUUAAGAAGAGUGAAGUUCCUCUAACAGUCCCUCACAGUCCAAACUUCUCUGAUCGCUUCCGCCUGUGAUCAAAUGUCUCUGUGCUUGUACAUAGAUUGUAUAUUUGAAACGCAUUAAGCUCUAUGUAGUUUCUUGUUAAGCUUUAGAUUUUAAUGAAGUUCUUACAUUUUAUGGUAUUUUACACUUUACUCAAUAAAGUUGAUCCAAAAUCAAUCAUGA